AGCGGCGGACGGGUGAGUAACACGUGGGUAACCUGCCCAAGAGACUGGGAUAACACCUGGAAACAGAUGCUAAUACCGGAUAACAACACUAGACGCAUGUCUAGAGUUUGAAAGAUGGUUCUGCUAUCACUCUUGGAUGGACCUGCGGUGCAUUAGCUAGUUGGUAAGGUAACGGCUUACCAAGGCAAUGAUGCAUAGCCGAGUUGAGAGACUGAUCGGCCACAUUGGGACUGAGACACGGCCCAAACUCCUACGAGAGGCAGCAGUAGGGAAUCUUCCACAAUGGACGAAAGUCUGAUGGAGCAACGCCGCGUGAGUGAAGAAGGGUUUCGGCUCGUAAAGCUCUGUUGGUAGUGAAGUAAGAUAGAGGUAGUAACUGGCCUUUAUUUGACGGUAAUUACUUAGAAAGUCACGGUUAACUACGUGCCAGCAGCCGCGGUAAUACGUAGGUGGCAAGCGUUGUCCGGAUUUAUUGGGCGUAAAGCGAGUGCAGGCGGUUCAAUAAGUCUGAUGUGAAAGCCUUCGACUCAACCGGAGAAUUGCAUCAGAAACUGUUGAACUUGAGUGCAGAAGAGGAGAGUGGAACUCCAUGUGUAGCGGUGGAAUGCGUAGAUAUAUGGAAGAACACCAGUGGCGAAGGCGGCUCUCUGGUCUGCAACUGACGCUGAGGCUCGAAAGCAUGGGUAGCGAACAGGAUUAGAUACCCUGGUAGUCCAUGCCGUAAACGAUGAGUGCUAAGUGU
Molecule: ribosomal RNA, 742 nt
Filed under: uncultured bacterium
Lineage: Bacteria
Description: bacterial SSU rRNA
Rfam family: Bacterial small subunit ribosomal RNA
Source: RNAcentral